GGGCGCAUAACUCAGCGGUAGAGUGCGACCUUCACACGGUUGAAGUCGGGGGUUCAAGUCCCUCUGCGCCCACCA
Molecule: transfer RNA, 75 nt
Filed under: Labilithrix sp.
Lineage: Bacteria; Pseudomonadati; Myxococcota; Polyangiales; Labilitrichaceae
Also listed under: 3 other names
Description: tRNA-Val
Rfam family: tRNA
About the family: Transfer RNA (tRNA) molecules are approximately 80 nucleotides in length. Their secondary structure includes four short double-helical elements and three loops (D, anti-codon, and T loops).
Source: RNAcentral